GGGGGGGGGGGGGGGGGGGGGGGGGGGGGGGGGGGGGGGGGGGGGGGCGGGGGGGGGGGUGGGCGGGUGUUGGCGGCGGGCGGGGGGGGAAGGCGUGGGGCACCUACCUCUGGGCCUGUGAUAACGUCGGGCAACCGGGGCUCGUGCCGGAUCAUCUUUUGACCCGCAUGGUUCGCAGGUGGAAGACGGUCUUGCUGUCACUUAUAGAUGGAUCCGCGCUGCAUUAGCUAGGUGGGAAGGUAACGGCUUACCACGGCAACGAUCAAUAGCCGACCUGAGAGGGUGAUCGGCCACACUGGAACUGAGACACGGUCCAGACUCCUACGGGAGGCAGCAGUAGGGAAUAUUCCGCAAUGCGCGAAAGCCUGACGGAGCAACGCCGCGUGAGUGAUGAAGGUCGUCGGAUCGUAAAACUCUGUUAUUAGGGAAGAACAUAUGUGUAAGUAACUGUGCACAUCUUGACGGUACCUAAUCAGAAAGCCACGGCUAACUACGUG
Molecule: ribosomal RNA, 497 nt
Filed under: uncultured bacterium
Lineage: Bacteria
Description: partial 16S ribosomal RNA
Rfam family: Bacterial small subunit ribosomal RNA (bases 56-497)
Source: RNAcentral